AUUGAACGCUGGCGGCAGGCCUAACACAUGCAAGUCGAACGAGUGGCGGACGGGUGAGUAAUGUCUGGGAAACUGCCUGAUGGAGGGGGAUAACUACUGGAAACGGUAGCUAAUACCGCAUACCAUCGGAUGUGCCCUGAUGGGAUUAGCUAGUAGGUGGGGUAACGUCUCACCUAGGCGACGAUCCCUAGCUGGUCUGAGAGGAUGACCAGCCACACUGGGACUGAGACACGGUCCAGACUCCUACGGGAGGCAGCAGUGGGGAAUAUUGCGCAAUGGGCGAAAGCCUGAUGCAGCCACGCCGCGUGAAUGAAGAAGGCCUUCGGGUUGUAAAGUACUUUCAGCGGAGAAGCGGUACCCACAGAAGAAGCACCGGCUAACUCCGUGCCAGCAGCCGCGGUAAUAC
Molecule: ribosomal RNA, 406 nt
Filed under: uncultured bacterium
Lineage: Bacteria
Description: partial 16S ribosomal RNA
Rfam family: Bacterial small subunit ribosomal RNA
Source: RNAcentral